Long non-coding RNA from Mobula hypostoma (lesser devil ray), 793 nucleotides. RefSeq lists it as uncharacterized. The record is from RefSeq and is a predicted model, not a curated record. Lineage: Eukaryota; Metazoa; Chordata; Chondrichthyes; Myliobatiformes; Myliobatidae. The transcript has 3 exons.
CGGUGGCGUCACCACCCGGCCCGGCCCGUCCCGUCCCGAGUCACGGUGGCAAGAGGGGGGCAGGGGGCAGGGGGCCGGGCCUUGGCAGCGCUAUGUCGGUGCGAGAGGCCCACCCUUAACGGUACAAAAUAUAAAAAGUCACCCUCCCCCAGUGGUAAUUCCUAUUACAGUGGCACUUCCCGAAAUCCGGCCGAUGCGGAGACGGAGCGGUAAAUCGUGGCGUCAUCGAUGAUGCAAUGGUAACAUUGACUAUAACGUGACGUCAGAGACUGCGCAACUUGGAUCUUGCUACUGACUUGGACCAUACUCUAUCAGGACCAUGUGGUGGAUGGAGUGCAGUGAUCACCCACGACAGAAGUACUCACCUAGAAGCAUCCUCCAUUUUGUUGGACUAAUUUAUCCUUGGCCUUGAGAAUCUACCCAAGGAGAAAGAGAAGAUGGUCUUUUUAGCUCAUUCUAUGCUUGAUCGCUGCAGAAAUCCUCUAACUAAUAUGUUGUGUAUUUAAUAUUUCAAUAAUCUUGUAUAUACAGUAUAUUGGUUGAUUAAGCAUUCCUGUUCCUUUAAAUAAUUCAUUACAGGUCAUAUGUAUAAGUACAAGAAUUGCAUGUUAUCAUGUGCAACUCGCUUAAAGUAAACUUGAAGUUAGACCUGUAUUUUUGACUCCUCUGUCUUCCUUUGAAUUAGUUUAAUGUUUUGAAGUUGCAAAACAUAACAGAACUGACAGCAAGUAUUUUGCUGUUAUUUUAUAUUUCCCUUCCUGAUCUUAAAUUCCUAUUGCUGAAAUAAAUGAUU